Molecule: non-coding RNA, 797 nt
Filed under: Pan troglodytes (chimpanzee)
Lineage: Eukaryota; Metazoa; Chordata; Mammalia; Primates; Hominidae
Source: RNAcentral
CAAAAUGAUACAGACACUUUGGAAGACACUUUGGCAGUUUCUUACAAAACUAACAUACUCUUACCACAUGAUCCAGCAAUUAUACUCCUUGGUAUUUACCCAAAUGAGCUGAAAACAUAUCCACACAGAAACCUACACAGGAUUUUAUAACUGCUUUAUUCAUAGUUGUCAAAACUUGGAAGCAACCAAGAUGUCCUCCAGUAGGCGAAUGGAAAAACACACUGUGGUACAUCCAGAUAGUGGAAUAUUAUUCAGUACUAAAAGGAAAUGAGCUGUCAAGCCAUGAAAAGACAAGGAGGAAAUUUAAAUGCAGAUUAUGAAGUGAAAGAAACCAAUCUGAAAAGGCUACCUGGGUGCGGUGGCUCAGGACUGUAAUUCCAGCUACAUGAGAGGAUUGCUUGAGGCCAGGAGUUUGAGACCAGCCUGAACAACAUAAUAGACUGGGAGCUCCAUGAGGUCUGAGACAACCUGAAGAUGCCCAGCUCAGCAGAGACUGGCUACGGCAAUCACUCAGUAACUGUUUGUUGAAUUGGACAUAAUAGAAGAGUUGAAGAAUUUUAAACAAGUCACCAUCAGUCCAGUGGAUUCCUCAAAGCAAACCUGGAAAUCUCGGCAUGAGUUGGAUUUAAGGCAGUACAUUUUCAGCUCCUGAAAAUUUGAACAGUUUCUCAAGAGAACAACUUGAAACAGAAAGGCAAGGAUGUAGAUGUGGUUGUAGAAGAUGAUGUCUGCGGCCACCAAACUGUCCACUGUGAAGAUAAACCAUGCAUGUUUAGUAGGCAGUGGCUCCUCUUCCC